This 492-nucleotide ribosomal RNA is filed under the name Enterobacter cloacae. RNAcentral describes it as "partial 23S ribosomal RNA". It matches the Rfam family "Bacterial large subunit ribosomal RNA", at positions 1 to 524 of the family's 2925-position model. The record is from RNAcentral. Lineage: Bacteria; Pseudomonadati; Pseudomonadota; Gammaproteobacteria; Enterobacterales; Enterobacteriaceae.
GGGUUGUGAGGUUAAGCGACUAAGCGUACACGGUGGAUGCCCUGGCAGUCAGAGGCGAUGAAGGACGUGCUAAUCUGCGAAAAGCGCCGGCGAGGUGAUAUGAACCUUUGACCCGGCGAUGUCCGAAUGGGGAAACCCAGUGUGAUUCGUCACACUAUCGUUAACUGAAUACAUAGGUUAACGAGGCGAACCGGGGGAACUGAAACAUCUAAGUACCCCGAGGAAAAGAAAUCAACCGAGAUUCCCCCAGUAGCGGCGAGCGAACGGGGAGCAGCCCAGAGUCUGAAUCAGCUUGUGUGUUAGUGGAACGGUCUGGAAAGUCCGACGAUACAGGGUGAUAGUCCCGUACACGAAAAUGCACAGGUUGUGAACUCGAAGAGUAGGGCGGGACACGUGGUAUCCUGUCUGAAUAUGGGGGGACCAUCCUCCAAGGCUAAAUACUCCUGACUGACCGAUAGUGAACCAGUACCGUGAGGGAAAGGCGAAAAGAAC